AUGAGGCGAUUGCCAGGGAACCAAUCCAGGAGGACCACGAGAGCUCGGGCUCGGGUAUAAAAGCAGCAUUCACUGAGCAGCCGGGGCCAUUCCACAACACCAAGACAAGAUGAAAGAGCUGUAACACUAAGAAACCUAAAAGAGCUGUAACAAAAAGGAAAUCCUGAGUAAACCACAUGAGAAGGAGCCUCAGUGUUCUAUCGUCAUUGCUGCUGGUCAGCAAAAGCGCGGGACAAGUGGUGGCCCAGGACAGGGAGCUUCGUGUCAAAGUGACCCGUAGGAGAUUCCAGAACUCUCGAUGGACAGGGCGAUCGAUCGGAAAUGUCUGCUAACGUCCACAAACCAGAGUCCCUUCUAUAUCAGAGAAUAAACUUCUAUCUAGUCCUCUGUGGUAGAGGAAGAGGAGGAGGAGCAGGAAGAGGAGGAAGACCAGGAGCAGGAGCAGGAGCAGGAACAGGAGCAAGAGGAAUUGGCUGACCAGCCCCCCAACAAUCCCCAACUCCUCCUUUAACAACUUCACGUUCUCUUAUGUCGUCUUUAUGUGCAUGGAUGUAAGACCAUUUGUGGGAGCAUCAGUGUCCUUAUGGGCCACUUCUCUGAUCAAAAGCUGACUCUCCCUACCCCAGAAGACUUCGAUUGCCAAAGCUCUCAUGGACUGGCCUGACUCCGCUUUAACAUUAAAAGCCAUCUUGUUACAAGGUCACAAUCUGAAGAGGAAUCAGACGCCCUAGAACUGGAGUUACAGAUGGGUGUGAGCCAUCGUGUGCCUGCUGGGAAUCAAACCUGGGUCCUCUGCAAAAGAAGCCAGUGCCCUGAGCCACCAAGUCGGCUCGUCGCUCCAGUCCUGACCUACUGAGUCCCCUGUUUCCUUUCCCUAUGACUGGGAUUACAGGCGUGUGCCAUCAUGCCUGGUUUCAUGAGAACUUUUACGCCUGAAAUUUUCAUUGUUCUAAUAGCCAAAACGACAUGAAAAGCUUUAGGGUCUUUGAUGUUAAUUAUACAAUUAUAUUAAGCUUGUGAACAUUUAUUGAACUGUAUACAAAAGAUACGGAUAGUCUUCUGUGUACACAUUAUAUCUUAAUAAAACUUUAAAAGAGAGACGAGA
Molecule: long non-coding RNA, 1105 nt
Organism: Mastomys coucha (southern multimammate mouse)
Lineage: Eukaryota; Metazoa; Chordata; Mammalia; Rodentia; Muridae
Exons: 4
Source: RefSeq, a predicted model, not a curated record